CAGGGUUCGAUUCCGGAGAGGGAGCCUGAGAAACGGCUACCACAUCCAAGGAGGGCAGCAGGCGCGCAAAUUACCCACUCCCGGCACGGGGAGGUAGUGACGAUAAAUAACGAUACGGGACUCAUCCGAGGCCCCGUAAUUGGAAUGAGCAUACUCUAAAGCCUUGUGCGAGUAUCAAUUGGAGGGUAAGUCUGGUGCCAGCAGCCGCGGUAAUUCCAGCUCCAAUAGCGUAUAUUAAAGUUGUUGCGGUUAAAAAGCUCGUAGUCCGCAUUGUGUCUCGCCCCGUCGGUACACCGCCUGCCGGUGCUUAACUGGCGCGCGAGCGAGACGUCGUGCCGGUCGGUGUCGGUCGGUCGGCCAACGCGGCGAGCUACCCUCCGGCUCUCGGGCCGUGGUACGCGAGCCGCAGGCCGUUCGGCCGCCCUUCAAAUCCCGUCGCGGUGCUCUUAAACAAGUGUCGAGGCGGGCCGGCAAUAUUACUUUGAACAAAUUAGUGUGCUUAAAGCAGGCUCAGGUUCGCCUGGAUACAUGUGCAUGGAAUAAUGGAAUAGGACCUAGGUUCUAUUUCGUUCGGUUUUAGGACCGUAGGUAAUGAUCAACGGGAACGGGCGGGGGCAUUCGUAUUGCUACGUUAGAGGUGAAAUUCUUGGAUCGUAGCAAGACGGACGUAAGCGAUAGCAUUUGCCAAGUACGUUUCCGUCGAUCAAGAACGAAAGUUAGAGGUUCGAAGGCGAUCAGAUACCGCCCUAGUUCUAACCAUAAACGAUGCCUGCCAGCGAUCCGCCGAUGUUCCUAAGAUGACACGGCGGGCAGCUUCCGGGAAACCAGAGCUUUCGGGUUCCGGGGGAAGUAUGGUUGCAAAGCUGAAACUUAAAGGAAUUGACGGAAGGGCACCACCAGGAGUGGAGCCUGCGGCUUAAUUUGACUCAACACGGGAAAACUCACCAGGCCCGGACACCGCAAGGAUUGACAGAUUGAUAGCUCUUUCUUGAUUCGGUGGGUGGUGGUGCAUGGCCGUUCUUAGUUCGUGGAGUGAUUUGUCUGGUUAAUUCCGAUAACCGAGCGAGACUCUAGCCUACUAACUAGGCGGACCGGUAUCCACAAUCGUGCUACCGGCGAGCCAAUAUCUUCUUAGAGGGACAGGCGGCUUCUAGCCGCACGAGACUGAGCAAUAACAGGUCUGUGAUGCCCUUAGAUGUCCUGGGCAGCACGCGCGCUACACUGAAGGAAUCAGCGUGUCUUCCCUGUCCGAGAGGACCGGGUAACCCGCUGAACCUCCUUCGUGCUUGGGAUUGGGGCUUGCAAUUGUUCCCCAUGAACGAGGAAUUCCCAGUAAGCGCUAGUCAUAAGCUGGCGUUGAUUACGUCCCUGCCCUUGUACACACCGCC
This 1388-nucleotide ribosomal RNA is filed under the name Omolicna triata. RNAcentral describes it as "SSU rRNA". It matches the Rfam family "Eukaryotic small subunit ribosomal RNA", at positions 371 to 1673 of the family's 1831-position model. The record is from RNAcentral. Lineage: Eukaryota; Metazoa; Arthropoda; Insecta; Hemiptera; Derbidae.